Molecule: small nucleolar RNA, 121 nt
Filed under: Echinops telfairi (small Madagascar hedgehog)
Lineage: Eukaryota; Metazoa; Chordata; Mammalia; Afrosoricida; Tenrecidae
Description: Small nucleolar RNA SNORA61 (ENSETEG00000025862.1)
Source: RNAcentral
UCCUUUCAGAUUCUUUACCUCUCAAACCUAAAUAUUGGACAGAUUGGCUAAAAAGGAAGGAAAAGUAAAACUGAAGUGAACUUGGAGUCUUCAGUGACAUACAAGUUCAUUCCAAACAUAC